RNAcentral lists this ribosomal RNA (272 nucleotides) under uncultured bacterium. RNAcentral's name for it is "partial 16S ribosomal RNA". The record is from RNAcentral.
CUGCUGCCUUCCGUAGGAGUCUGGGCCGUGUCUCAGUCCCAGUGUGGGGGGCCUUCCUCUCAGAACCCCUACGCAUCGUCGCCACGGUGGGCCGUCACCCCGCCGUCUAGCUAAUGCGCCGCAUGCCCAUCCGCCACCGGAUCGCUCCUUUGGCCACCGGAGGAUGCCCUCCGGUGGCGUCACGGGGUAUUAAGCCGCGUUUCCGCGGGUUAUCCCCCUGUGGCGGCCAGGUUGCAUACGUGUUACUCACCCGUGCGCCGGUCGCCGGCGGG